Molecule: long non-coding RNA, 2767 nt
Organism: Prionailurus viverrinus (fishing cat)
Lineage: Eukaryota; Metazoa; Chordata; Mammalia; Carnivora; Felidae
Exons: 2
Source: RefSeq, a predicted model, not a curated record
CAGGGAAGACACAGCGCCGCCGGCCGUGGGGGACGGACGCACUGAUUUGCUCCCCUACCCUCAGCAGCCCCCCCACCCAGCACCAGGUGGGUGUGAGCUGGGGUCUCCGCCGCACAGGAGGGAACCGUGCUAACAGGGAGCCUGUCCCUCCCACAUCCUCAACUGGCUGAGCCGCAGUAGUUCUUCAGUGGCAAGCUUUAUGUCCUGACCCAGCUAAAGCUGCCAGUUGAAGAACUGUUGCCCUCUGCCCCUGGCUUCAAGGAGGAGGAGGAAGAGGAGAAGGAGCUGCUUUCCCCCUCAUCUGGAAGGUGACGGAACUGGGGCUGGGAAGGUCAGAACAGCGGGAGUGGUGAUGCCUUUUGGAAAAGGGAACCUUGUUCAGUUGGAGACCCUUCAGCCAGAUUGGCCCAGCAAGAGAGAACAGUUGUAGAUUAGAGACCCUCGUUGGGCUGGGGACUAGAUGGCUGUGACUACCCAAGGUUAGUUGGUCUACAUCAGUGUGUGACAAAGGGAAGACAAUGGGAGCAAAGAAAACUGGCAACACCUUUACUCAGAUGUCUUUCUUGACCCUCCUUCCUGUCUCCCUUUCUUUCCUACUGCCUUUCCAGGUGAGGUCCAAAGUAAAUUUCAUCUUCAGGGAAGAGGUCAUACUGAAACUCCCAUCUGAGUAGUCAACUCCAUGCUCUUAGCUUUCCCUGUAUUUUCUCAGACUGGCCUAGACUCCAGUUACAGGGAUAAAUCACCUAUAUGUGGGACCCUUGGGCCUCUUGUCUCAGCUUCAACACCUGUGAGAUGCAGAAUCAUACAGUUGAAUGUGCAGGAGGGAAUCAGAAGCCUACUGUGCAGACUCAGAGCCUGGGCUCUCUUCUCCCUGUGGGUGGGAACAAAACAGCUUUUCAUAUAAGCUGUUGCCCCUCCCCCCAUCCCUAACCAACACAACCCCAGGAGCUGGGGGUGGGGGGGAGGAUUAGAGGGAGGGGGCUAGAGUUAGACCAGGGCUAGGGGCUGGAGGAGCUCAGUCUCUACAUUGACUUCCCACCAUACAAAGGUGGCCCCAGGUUUCCUCUGCCACCCAAAACAGAACUGCAGCCCCUGAUGGGGUUCCAACUGCUGUUCCUGUUUCUUCUCUCACUUUACCUUCCAGGAUAAUUUGUGAGACUCAGCUCAGGCUUACGAGGCAGGAAAUUCUCUCCAGUAACCAGGCGAGAUGGGUUGUGGGAUAUGACCCCCUCUGGGGAAUCAAGCUGUGUAAACCUAGCACCCCUGGCUCCUGAUGCCAUGUAACUCUUGGGGCUCAGGCUCUGGUGUGGUUCAACCGUGGCCCAGCCUCCCUGCCUGAAGGUGGCCAAAUUCAGGGGCUGCAGAAAGCUGUCCCGCUGUGGGGCACAAGAUGUACAGGUAGCUGGGUCCUUUUCUCCACUUAUGAGAGAGAUUUAGGGGAGAGUAGAUCAUUGAACCCACCCUUCUGCAGCCUAGGCUGGAUGUGUGUGGGACUGUGGUGGAGGGGGUGGGUAGACUGGGUCCACUCAUAGGCUGCAACAAAGAUUGUUCUGUCCCUGGACAUUGCUUCCGUCCUUUCUUCCCCUCUCCGCUUCACUGGCCGCAGUGUCUCCCUCCAGCCCUGGGUAUGUGGCUCUGCCAUCCUCACCCGUCAUGGAGCAGAGAUGAGGAAGAGCAGCCUGGGAACACAGAGGCAGGCAGAAGACCAGUGAAGGACCAGGCCCGGAGAGCACAGGGCCCUGUCUGGGCACCCCGCAGAGGGGACCCAUAAAGGCCAGGAGCACCCGAGGAGGAGGGAGGACGGCCAGCCUCCAUCAAGAACAAGCUCCCGGCCACUGGCUUCAUUCACUAUUUCUCUCCAGUGUCACUACCUCCCUGAGAUAUGAGACUGUGUUAAAAUGUCCUGUUGCUUCAUCCUCCUACUUCUACUCCCUACCCUAUAGAGUGAUAUAAAGAAGCAGCCUCAAGGAGCAAGAACCAGCUGUGAAAGGACAUAUGUAGGGAAUUCAUAGAAGAAAUUCAAAUGGAUAAAACCAUGAAAAACAAUGUGUGCUUCAUUAGUAAUUAAAGAAAGACAAGCAUAGCUGAAAGCAUUUUUCCCUCGGCAAACUAUAUUUAAAAAAAUAAAAAAAAGAAGACCCAGUAUCGGCAAAGGAGCACUAAAAUAACACUCCCAUACCUUGCAUAUGGGGGUGCGAAUUGGUAUAGCCUUCCUGGAUGUCAGUUUGGUAGUAUGUGUCAAACGCUCUAAAAGUGUCCAUCACCUUUGACCUAGUGAUUCUACACUUGGGAAUUUAUCCUAAGAAAAUAAUUAAAGAUUCAGUUACAAGAUGCUCACCCCAGCAUUGCAAUAGAAAAAAUGAGAAGCAGUUGUCUGAUUGGGAAUUCACUUCUUCUUUGCUGUAAUGAAAAUUUGCAAUGGGGGAUUGCUUAAGUAAAUCAUUGUAUAUCCAUCCAGAUGGUGGAGUACUGCACAGCCAUUAGAAGUCAUGUAGAAGAACAUUUGACUGGAAAGAAAAAUGCUCUUUGAAUAUUAAAAAGGUUAUGAAAAUAGUGUGUAUUAUGUGAUCUCAAUUUUUUUUAAUAUGGGUAUAUUCUUGUAUACAUAAAACAGAUAAAGACUAAGGACAUAACUCUUAAAUGUUGAUGAUAGUGAUUAUCUUUGGAUGGUGGAACAAAAUCAUUGUGAUUUUCCUCUUUGGCUUUUCUAUUUUAAAAUUUUCUACAUUGUGUAUGGUUCUCACAUAAUAAAAUUUAAAAGAAUCGG